RNAcentral lists this ribosomal RNA (301 nucleotides) under uncultured bacterium. RNAcentral describes it as "partial 16S ribosomal RNA". It matches the Rfam family "Bacterial small subunit ribosomal RNA", at positions 509 to 808 of the family's 1533-position model. The record is from RNAcentral.
CAGUAGCCGCGGUAAUACGUAGGUCCCGAGCGUUGUCCGGAUUUAUUGGGCGUAAAGCGAGCGCAGGCGGUUAGAUAAGUCUGAAGUUAAAGGCUGUGGCUUAACCAUAGUACGCUUUGGAAACUGUUUAACUUGAGUGCAGAAGGGGAGAGUGGAAUUCCAUGUGUAGCGGUGAAAUGCGUAGAUAUAUGGAGGAACACCGGUGGCGAAAGCGGCUCUCUGGUCUGUAACUGACGCUGAGGCUCGAAAGCGUGGGGAGCAAACAGGAUUAGAUACCCCUGUAGUCCCUGUCUCUUAUACA